RNAcentral lists this ribosomal RNA (162 nucleotides) under Portulacaria afra. RNAcentral's name for it is "5.8S ribosomal RNA". It matches the Rfam family "5.8S ribosomal RNA". Rfam says of the family: 5.8S ribosomal RNA (5.8S rRNA) is a component of the large subunit of the eukaryotic ribosome. It is transcribed by RNA polymerase I as part of the 45S precursor that also contains 18S and 28S rRNA. The record is from RNAcentral. Lineage: Eukaryota; Viridiplantae; Streptophyta; Magnoliopsida; Caryophyllales; Didiereaceae.
AACGACUCUCGGCAACGGAUAUCUUGGCUCUCGCAUCGAUGAAGAACGUAGCGAAAUGCGAUACUUGGUGUGAAUUGCAGAAUCCCGUGAACCAUCGAGUCUUUGAACGCAAGUUGCGCCCGAAGCCUUCCGGCCGAGGGNACGUCUGCCUGGGCGUCACGC